ACGGGAGGCAGCAGCUAAGAAUAUUCCGCAAUGGACGAAAGUCUGACGGAGCGACGCCGCGUGGAUGAUGAAGGCCGGAAGGUUGUAAAAUCCUUUUAUGACUGAGGAAUAAGUAAGGUGAGAGAAACGCCUUAUGGUGACUGUAGGUCAUGAAUAAGCAACGGCUAAUUACGUGCCAGCAGCCGCGGUAACACGUAAGUUGCGAGCGUUGUUCGGAAUUAUUGGGCGUAAAGGGCAUGUAGGCGGUUUUGCAAGCUUGGUGUGAAAGGCAGGAGCUUAACUCCUGGACUGCGUUGAGAACUGCAAGACUAGAGUUACUGAAGAGCAAUCCGAAUUCCAGGUGUAGGGGUGAAAUCUGUAGAUAUCUGGAAGAAUACCAAUGGCGAAGGCAGGUUGCUGGCAGAUGACUGACGCUGAGGUGCGAAGGUGCGGGGAGCAAACAGGAUUAGAUACCCUGGUA
Molecule: ribosomal RNA, 460 nt
Filed under: uncultured Treponema sp.
Lineage: Bacteria; Pseudomonadati; Spirochaetota; Spirochaetia; Treponematales; Treponemataceae
Description: partial 16S ribosomal RNA
Rfam family: Bacterial small subunit ribosomal RNA
Source: RNAcentral